GCUCCUGCUCCUCGCUGAGCUGCGAACGGAGGGCAGGGCGGAUGACGGACGCGAGAGGUCGAGACCAGGAACCCCUGUCCUGGCCCCACCGCGUGGGACGCGGCCCGGGCCCGGCGUUAUCACCCGGGCAGAUUAAACGCCUCACCAGGCCUGCUCUGUGCAGAACUUCCACCUUUCACCACACUCCGCUCCUCUGAACUUCCUCUCUUCGUCAGCCCCAGGGCGUUGAGGCUGGGUUUCUCUCCAGCUCUCUCCACUUUAGAAGAGACUCUUCUAAGUAUUUUGCUUUUCCAAUUCCUGUUGCUUCCGUCAUUGUGAAGAGUCACCCAGGCCGCUGGAGCUCAGUACUCUAAGAUCAAGUUCAGAACAGGUCUGUGUGUGAAGCUAAAGGACAUACAUACGCACACCCUUGUGGAGUGAUACUGUGUGGUGGAAGGACUACUACAACUCAAAGGAAUAGUUAAUAAAUCCAGUAUUAAUCUGUUGCGAGAA
Long non-coding RNA from Carlito syrichta (Philippine tarsier), 492 nucleotides. RefSeq lists it as uncharacterized. The transcript has 2 exons. Lineage: Eukaryota; Metazoa; Chordata; Mammalia; Primates; Tarsiidae. The record is from RefSeq and is a predicted model, not a curated record.